UGGCGAACGGGUGAGUAACGCGUGAGGAACCUGCCUCAAAGAGGGGGACAACAGUUGGAAACGACUGCUAAUACCGCAUAAGCCCACGACCCGGCAUCGGGUAGAGGGAAAAGGAGCAAUCCGCUUUGAGAUGGCCUCGCGUCCGAUUAGCUAGUUGGCGAGGUAACGGCCCACCAAGGCGACGAUCGGUAGCCGGACUGAGUGGUUGAACGGCCACAUUGGGACUGAGACACGGCCCAG
RNAcentral lists this ribosomal RNA (240 nucleotides) under uncultured bacterium. Its description in RNAcentral is "partial 16S ribosomal RNA". It matches the Rfam family "Bacterial small subunit ribosomal RNA", at positions 96 to 334 of the family's 1533-position model. The record is from RNAcentral.